RNAcentral lists this ribosomal RNA (55 nucleotides) under Ostreococcus mediterraneus. RNAcentral's name for it is "partial Eukaryotic large subunit ribosomal RNA". The record is from RNAcentral. Lineage: Eukaryota; Viridiplantae; Chlorophyta; Mamiellophyceae; Mamiellales; Bathycoccaceae.
GGCCUAUCGAUCCUUUAGCUAGUCGGAAAUUGACGCUAGAGGUGUCAGAAAAGCU